UACGUACUUCCUCCGUUCCGAAUUACUUGUCUUAGAUUUGUCUAGAUACGGAGAUAUCUAGCACUAAAAUAAGUCUAGAUACAUCCGUAUCUAGACAAAUCCAAGACAAGUAAUUAGGAAUGAAAGGAGUAGUUC
Triticum aestivum (bread wheat) is the source of this 135-nucleotide non-coding RNA. NCBI's taxonomy places the organism in Eukaryota, Viridiplantae, Streptophyta, Magnoliopsida, Poales, Poaceae. The record is from Rfam.